CUCUCUCAUAUAUGGUAACGUCACACCCUCCCAUCACAUGUCAAGGAAAUAAACAACUACCUGACUUUUAGAAGGCUUCUGAAGGCGGCUCUGUUUAGGGAAGUUUUUAAUGUCUGAUGUUUUAUGCUAUUAUUAUUAUUAUUAUUAUUAUUAUUAUUAUUAUUAUCAUUAAUUCUGUUGGAAGCUGCCCAGAGUGUUCAGGGAAUGAAUGAAUGAAUAAAUAAAAUUAUUAUUAUUAUUAUUAUUAUUAUUAUUUACUUUUGUAAUUAUACUGGGUCCUGCCCUAUCAUUGUUAAGUACUUGUAGGUCCCAUUGUUUUCAAUGGGGGAAAUUAGCUAUUCCAUUCUGGUCAGCUAGACCAAACUGAGAGAAAACUCUUAAGCCAAAUGGUUUAGUAGUUCGUAAUAAUAAUAAUAAUAAUACAGUGGAACUUCUAUUUGCAACCAUAAUCCAUUCUGGAGGUCCGUCUGGAGGUUGAAACGGGUCGCUGGGAGAGGUGCUGUUGUGCACAGGUGUGGGUGGCGACUGCCCGCUUCUGCUCAUGUGCAAAUGGCAAUCGCCAUUCCUGCGCAUGCGCGAACGGUGGCAAACCCACCGGUUACUUCUGGGUUUGCCGCAGUUGCGACUUGGAACAACCAUAAGAAGAGGCGGUGGUAAGUAGAGGUUUGACGUAAUAAUAAUAAUAAUAAUAAUUUAUUUAUUAUACCCUGCCCAUCUUGCCAGGCCUCCCCAGCAACUCUGGGCGGCUUCCAACAGGAUAUUAAAAAACACAAUAAAACAUCAAGCAUUAAAAACUUCCCUAAACAGGGCUGCCUUCAGAUGUCAUCAACUCUCAUUUCUAUGAACAGAUGAAAUAUUACUAAUACACAUUAUUUGUGACAGACCCUGAACUGUACAUGGAAAGGUUAACUCUGCACUGGAAGAGAAAAGACUGUGGUAUCUUGCUGAAUUCAUUCAGGCUUACUGAAAACCAUCUUCAUUACCAAGGGACCCCAGGAAGGACCAGCUGAUUUUAUAUAAUGGAAGGAAUUCUGAGCCCAGGCAUAGAAAAUUGUGACCGUCCAAUGUUUCUUAGACUCCAGCUUCCAGCAUCCCUGACUUCUGGCCCUGUUGGCUGGGACCAGGGCUGGUGCACCCAGCAGGCAGGGUGCUGCCGCCACCUCAGGCAAUGCAAGCCCCCCAAGGUGAAGCCUGCACAGCCUGCCGUGCCACCUCCGCCAACAGCGAAGAAGCAGUGCUGGUAUUGGUGCCAAUUUCGGGUGAGAUCUUACCCAAAAUUGGAGGUGGAGGCAGCAGCAGCAGGACAGCACUUCCCUCCUUCACCUCAAGUGACAAAAGGGCUGCUGUCAGGGCAAACUGGAUUUUAAUUAUUGAUUUGAAUUGUGUUAAUUAUUCCUUUAAGUUUUUUUUUUUUUAAUACUUUGCAUUUUAUAAUGUUUUACAUGUUUUAAGCUGCCUUCAAUUCCAACUUGGGAGAAAGGCAGGAUAUAAAUACGACGAAGAAGAAGAAGAAGAAGAAGAAGAAGAAGAAGAAGAAGAAGUCAGACAGAUAGACAGUUGUAGUGCAUUGAGUGGUUUGCCCAUAAUUUUGGCGGAGACAAUGCACAUUUCCUUUUCAACCACUAUUCUUAAAGAAAAGAAAAUGGAUUGUGCUGCAUGGACUCUGGUUGUCUGGGUACUGUGCUAGGGCUCUGGGCUAGCCCUUGUAUCUUCUGGGCUAUAUCUAAUGCAUGCUUUGUUUACCCUCCUUAAAGGUAAAGGUAAAGGUAAAGGGAC
This 1776-nucleotide long non-coding RNA is filed under the name Podarcis lilfordi (Lilford's wall lizard). Lineage: Eukaryota; Metazoa; Chordata; Lepidosauria; Squamata; Lacertidae. The record is from RNAcentral.